AAUCAGUGCUGAAAAUCGUCUCUCAUCCGCCAAAACAUCUUCGGCGUUGUAAGGUUAAGCCUCACGGUUCAUUAGUACCGGUUAGCUCAACGCAUCGCUGCGCUUACACACCCGGCCUAUCAACGUCGUCGUCUUCAACGUUCCUUCAGGAGACCUAAAGUCUCAGGGAGAACUCAUCUCGGGGCAAGUUUCGUGCUUAGAUGCUUUCAGCACUUAUCUCUUCCGCAUUUAGCUACCGGGCAGUGCCAUUGGCAUGACAACCCGAACACCAGUGAUGCGUCCACUCCGGUCCUCUCGUACUAGGAGCAGCCCCCCUCAGUUCUCCAGCGCCCACGGCAGAUAGGGACCGAACUGUCUCACGACGUUCUAAACCCAGCUCGCGUACCACUUUAAAUGGCGAACAGCCAUACCCUUGGGACCUACUUCAGCCCCAGGAUGUGAUGAGCCGACAUCGAGGUGCCAAACACCGCCGUCGAUAUGAACUCUUGGGCGGUAUCAGCCUGUUAUCCCCGGAGUACCUUUUAUCCGUUGAGCGAUGGCCCUUCCAUUCAGAACCACCGGAUCACUAUGACCUGCUUUCGCACCUGCUCGCGCCGUCACGCUCGCAGUCAAGCUGGCUUAUGCCAUUGCACUAACCUCCUGAUGUCCGACCAGGAUUAGCCAACCUUCGUGCUCCUCCGUUACUCUUUAGGAGGAGACCGCCCCAGUCAAACUNNNNNNNNNNNNNNNNNNNNCCCGGGUAACGGGUCCACGUUAGAACAUCAAACAUUAAAGGGUGGUAUUUCAAGGUCGGCUCCAUGCAGACUGGCGUCCACACUUCAAAGCCUCCCACCUAUCCUACACAUCAAGGCUCAAUGUUCAGUGUCAAGCUAUAGUAAAGGUUCACGGGGUCUUUCCGUCUUGCCGCGGGUACACUGCAUCUUCACAGCGAGUUCAAUUUCACUGAGUCUCGGGUGGAGACAGCCUGGCCAUCAUUACGCCAUUCGUGCAGGUCGGAACUUACCCGACAAGGAAUUUCGCUACCUUAGGACCGUUAUAGUUACGGCCGCCGUUUACCGGGGCUUCGAUCAGGAGCUUCGCUUGCGCUGACCCCAUCAAUUAACCUUCCGGCACCGGGCAGGCGUCACACCGUAUACGUCCACUUUCGUGUUUGCACAGUGCUGUGUUUUUAAUAAACAGUUGCAGCCAGCUGGUAUCUUCGACUGACUUCAGCUCCAUGAGUAAAUCACUUCACCUACGUGUCAGCGUGCCUUCUCCCGAAGUUACGGCACCAUUUUGCCUAGUUCCUUCACCCGAGUUCUCUCAAGCGCCUUGGUAUUCUCUACCUGACCACCUGUGUCGGUUUGGGGUACGAUUUGAUGUUACCUGAUGCUUAGAGGCUUUUCCUGGAAGCAGGGCAUUUGUUGCUUCAGCACCGUAGUGCCUCGUCGUCACGCCUCAGUGUUAAAGUGAACCGGAUUUACCUGGAACACACACCUACACGCUUAAACCGGGACAACCGUCGCCCGGCCAACAUAGCCUUCUCCGUCCCCCCUUCGCAGUAACACCAAGUACGGGAAUAUUAACCCGUUUCCCAUCGACUACGCCUUUCGGCCUCGCCUUAGGGGUCGACUCACCCUGCCCCGAUUAACGUUGGACAGGAACCCUUGGUCUUCCGGCGAGCGGGCUUUUCACCCGCUUUAUCGUUACUUAUGUCAGCAUUCGCACUUCUGAUACCUCCAGCAACCCUCACAGGCCACCUUCACAGGCUUACAGAACGCUCCCCUACCCAACAACACCUGAGUGUCGCUGCCGCAGCUUCGGUGCAUGGUUUAGCCCCGUUACAUCUUCCGCGCAGGCCGACUCGACCAGUGAGCUAUUACGCUUUCUUUAAAUGAUGGCUGCUUCUAAGCCAACAUCCUGGCUGUCUGGGCCUUCCCACAUCGUUUCCCACUUAACCAUGACUUUGGGACCUUAGCUGGCGGUCUGGGUUGUUUCCCUCUUCACGACGGACGUUAGCACCCGCCGUGUGUCUCCCGUGAUAACAUUCUCCGGUAUUCGCAGUUUGCAUCGGGUUGGUAAGCCGGGAUGGCCCCCUAGCCGAAACAGUGCUCUACCCCCGGAGAUGAAUUCACGAGGCGCUACCUAAAUAGCUUUCGGGGAGAACCAGCUAUCUCCCGGUUUGAUUGGCCUUUCACCCCCAGCCACAGGUCAUCCGCUAAUUUUUCAACAUUAGUCGGUUCGGUCCUCCAGUUAGUGUUACCCAACCUUCAACCUGCCCAUGGCUAGAUCACCGGGUUUCGGGUCUAUACCCUGCAACUUAACGCCCGGUUAAGACUCGGUUUCCCUCCGGCUCCCCUAUACGGUUAACCUUGCUACAGAAUAUAAGUCGCUGACCCAUUAUACAAAAGGUACGCAGUCACACAGGUAAACCUGUGCUCCCACUGCUUGUACGUACACGGUUUCAGGUUCUUUUUCACUCCCCUCGCCGGGGUUCUUUUCGCCUUUCCCUCACGGUACUGGUUCACUAUCGGUCAGUCAGGAGNNNNNNNNNNNNNNNNNNNNCCCCCAUAUUCAGACAGGAUACCACGUGUCCCGCCCUACUCAUCGAGCUCACAGCACAUGCGCUUUUGUGUACGGGGCUGUCACCCUGUAUCGCGCGCCUUUCCAGACNNNNNNNNNNNNNNNNNNNNUUCGCUCGCCGCUACUGGGGGAAUCUCGGUUGAUUUCUUUUCCUCGGGGUACUUAGAUGUUUCAGUUCCCCCGGUUCGCCUCAUUAACCUAUGGAUUCAGUUAAUGAUAGUGUGACGAAUCACACUGGGUUUCCCCAUUCGGAAAUCGCCGGUUAUAACGGUUCAUAUCACCUUACCGGCGCUUAUCGCAGAUUAGCACGUCCUUCAUCGCCUCUGACUGCCAGGGCAUCCACCGUGUACGCUUAGUCGCUUAACCUCACAACCCGAAGAUGUUUCUUACGAUUCAUCAUCGUGUUGCGAAAAUUUGAGAGACUCACGAACAACUUUCGUUGUUCUGUGUUUCAAUUUUCAGCUUGAUCCAGAUUUUUAAAGAGCAAA
Molecule: ribosomal RNA, 3050 nt
Filed under: Salmonella enterica subsp. enterica serovar Paratyphi A
Lineage: Bacteria; Pseudomonadati; Pseudomonadota; Gammaproteobacteria; Enterobacterales; Enterobacteriaceae
Description: 23S ribosomal RNA
Source: RNAcentral